This 388-nucleotide ribosomal RNA is filed under the name uncultured bacterium. RNAcentral describes it as "bacterial SSU rRNA". It matches the Rfam family "Bacterial small subunit ribosomal RNA", at positions 30 to 412 of the family's 1533-position model. The record is from RNAcentral.
AUUGAACGCUGGCGGCAUGCUUUACACAUGCAAGUCGAACGGCAGCACGGGGGCAACCCUGGUGGCGAGUGGCGAACGGGUGAGUAAUACAUAGGAACGUAUCCUGAAAUGGGGGAUAGCUCGGCGAAAGCCGGAUUAAUACCGCAUACGAUCCACGGAUGAAAGCAGGGGAUUCGCAAGAACCUUGCGUUUCUGGAGCGGCCUAUGUCUGAUUAGCUAGUUGGCGGGGUAAAAGGACCCACCCAAGGCGACGAUCAGUAGUUGGUCUGAGAGGAUGAUCAGCCACACUGGGACUGAGACACGGCCCAGACUCCUACGGGAGGCAGCAGUGGGGAAUUUUUGGACAAUGGGGGCAACCCUGAUCCAGCCAUGCCGCGUGAGUGAAGAA